Macaca mulatta (Rhesus monkey) is the source of this 117-nucleotide unclassified non-coding RNA. It matches the Rfam family "Metazoan signal recognition particle RNA". Rfam says of the family: The signal recognition particle (SRP) is a universally conserved ribonucleoprotein. It is involved in the co-translational targeting of proteins to membranes. NCBI's taxonomy places the organism in Eukaryota, Metazoa, Chordata, Mammalia, Primates, Cercopithecidae. The record is from Ensembl.
GCCGGGUGUGGUAGCCCACACCUGUAAUCCCAGCACUUUGGGAGGCUGAGGCAGGAGGAUCGCUUGAGCCCAUGAGUUCCAGACCAGCCUGGGCAACAUAGGGAGACCCUGUCUCUA